This 2539-nucleotide unclassified non-coding RNA is filed under the name Megachile rotundata (alfalfa leafcutting bee). RNAcentral describes it as "rNA-binding protein fusilli, transcript variant X1". Lineage: Eukaryota; Metazoa; Arthropoda; Insecta; Hymenoptera; Megachilidae. The record is from RNAcentral.
AGCCGCGCAAACGAAUAACUCGCGGGUGCUGCCCGUUCGCGGAGUUAUCGCAGCGAACGAUAUACCUGCGCAGAAACGUGGCGCGAGGUAUCUAUCAUCGAUUCGCGAUCCGGAUCAACAACGGUCGAUCCUUAACCUCAAUCAGCACGAUAGAUAGGUAACAUGUCGCGUUUGUACGGCGACAGUCUGUGAACGCGUGAACGUAGUGCGGACGUGAGGUUCAGGUGAGCACCCAAGAGGCCGAAUUUGGCCUUGUCUAGGACACGUUUGCGUGCAUCGUGGUGUGCUACUUUGAUAGGUUCAGGUGUACGUUGACCCAGAAGUAGUGAGUAGUGCUCGAACGAAACGGACGAAAGAAACGAAAGGUAAUCCUGGCACGAUGCAGACUACAGGAACAAGGGGACCUACUCACCUGGUCGCCCUUUACGUGGCGACAGCCGGUCUUCAAGGAAAUGCUCUCGGAUCUGACGAAGAGGAGAUCACGUUGCUGGUUUACGUGCUUCUCGAUGUGCUGCAAAAUAAGGUGUUAGGAAGACAACAGUAUAUUGUACGACCGAUGGUAAUGGACGAAAGUUGUACACCUGGAACCGGUAGCGACAAUCCGGCGGUUGCCGGAAGUAGCGGAGUCAUCAGCGAGGCAGCGCUGGCGCAUGCUCCGACGUUAACCGAAAGAACAGUUCGAGAACACGGAAUUUCUUUGGAGCAGGCUAUCGAACAGUUCGAAGCAUGGUGGUCAUCCAUGUCGUGCGUGACAUCCGGUUCCGCACCACGUUUCGUCGUAGACGGCCAGGCACCGAUGAGACAGUGUUUACAUCCCGAAGCCUGCAACAAAGAAAUCGAGCUGCCUGAACAUUACAACCUAUUUCAUGACCUCCGUAAGGAAUUUGUUGCCUGUUAUUCCACCCAUGGAGAACUCGCGACGCUCGGAAUACAGGAAAUGCUGGAUUAUUUUGGUUUGCCAUCGGAUACCGAGAACGAUUACCAUGUAAAAGAGAUACAGGAUAUGAUAUGUGUGAUACAGAGAAUGAUCAAGGAUGGGCACAUCUUCCAGAAUCCUGAAGUAGUUAAUAUUGUUCUAGAACCUGGUAUAUGCUCAAAAGAUGAAGAAGUGGAUAAUGGCUGUGUUGUAAGAGCACGAGGUCUUCCUUGGCAAUCAUCUGAUCAGGAUAUAGCAAAAUUUUUUCGGGGCCUAAAUGUUGCCAAGGGUGGUGUAGCUCUGUGUUUAAGUCCUAUGGGAAGACGUAACGGAGAAGCAUUAGUACGGUUUGUUAAUAAAGAACACAGAGACAUGGCACUGAAGAGACACAAACAUCAUAUGGGUGGGAGGUACAUAGAAGUUUACAAGGCAUCUGGAGAAGAUUUUGUAGGUGUUGCUGGAGGAACCAGUGGAGAAGCUCAUGCAUUUUUAUCAAGAGGAGCUCAAGUUAUUGUUAGAAUGAGAGGCUUGCCAUAUGACUGUGUUGCUAAACAAGUGUUGGAUUUCUUUUUAACGGGGCAAAAGCCUUGCCAUGUAUUAGAUGGGGAGGACGGGGUCUUAUUUGUAAAGAAACCAGAUGGCAGAGCAACCGGAGACGCUUUCGUUCUUUUUGCGAAAGAAGAAGAUGCUGUAAAGGCCUUGAGCAAACACAGGGAUUGCAUUGGUAGUCGGUACAUUGAACUUUUUCGAAGUACGAUCGCCGAGGUGCAACAGGUCUUGAAUAGGGCGAUUGACCCGAAACAAGUGGUUCUUCCGACGCCACCCAUUCCACAGCUUCCUCCUAUACUUCCACAACACAUUAUCACUUCCGGUACGCGUAAAGAUUGCGUUAGAUUACGCGGUCUACCUUACGAAGCUCUCGUAGAGCACAUUCUCGAGUUCAUGGGCGAACAUUCUAAGAAUAUCGUCUACCAAGGUGUUCAUAUGGUUUACAAUGCUCAAGGUCAACCUUCUGGCGAGGCGUUCAUUCAAAUGGACAGUGAAAGUUCAGCGUACGCGUGUGCUUCGCAACGACAUCAUCGGUACAUGAUAUACGGGAAAAAGCAGCGGUACAUCGAAGUGUUCCAGUGCAGCGGAGACGAUAUGAAUCUGGUAUUAACAGGUGCAGUAACUCCACCGUCAACCAAGGCCCUGCUAUCACCCGAGGGGCGAAAUCGCAAGUUGGUGCUACAUAUAUAUAAAACAUACGUAUAUAUCGUGUUACAAUGGUGCAGUGUCGAUUGCUGUUUGGUAGCGGGAUCUACAAAUACUAACUUCUGUGCUUCCAGGGGGCACGAUGUUGCCACCACCACCGGUCGCUAUAUUCCCACCUGCUGCUGCGAUGCUACCGCGUGGACCACCACAGUUUGCGGCACCUUAUCCGCCUCCAAUUUUUUAUUGGCCUUAUCCCUCGCCACCAGUCAGCCCGACUAAUUAUUAUAACCCGGCGAACGUUGGUGGUAUCGCGGCGAUUCCUCAGCAAGCAGCGCUGUUGACUCCAGCCGAAUGCUUGCAAUUACCGCCAGGAACAACGGUACCUGCUACCACCACACCGGCUCCAGAACAACGCAUCGAAGCUUUCCU